UGCGCAGGCGGACUUUUAAGUCAGUGGUGAAAUCCCGAGGCUCAACCUCGGAACUGCCAUUGAUACUGGAAGUCUUGAACUUGGUUGAAGUGGGCGGAAUGUAGCAUGUAGCGGUGAAAUGCUUAGAUAUGCUACAGAACACCGAUCGCGAAGGCAGCUCACUAAGCCAAUAUUGACGCUCAGGCACGAAAGCGUGGGGAGCAAACAGGAUUAGAUACCCUGGUAGUCC
This 229-nucleotide ribosomal RNA is filed under the name uncultured bacterium. RNAcentral's name for it is "partial 16S ribosomal RNA". It matches the Rfam family "Bacterial small subunit ribosomal RNA", at positions 568 to 796 of the family's 1533-position model. The record is from RNAcentral.